RNAcentral lists this ribosomal RNA (395 nucleotides) under uncultured bacterium. RNAcentral's name for it is "partial 16S ribosomal RNA". It matches the Rfam family "Bacterial small subunit ribosomal RNA", at positions 523 to 918 of the family's 1533-position model. The record is from RNAcentral.
AUACGUAGGGUGCAAGCGUUAAUCGGAAUUACUGGGCGUAAAGCGUGCGCAGGCGGUUUUGUAAGACAGUGGUGAAAUCACCGGGCUCAACCUGGGGACUGCCAUUGUGACUGCAAGGCUGGAGUGCGGAAGAGGGGGGUGGAAUUCCGCGUGGUACAGUGUAAUGCGUAGAGAUGCGGAGGAACACCGAUGGCGAAGGCAAUCCCCUGGGCCUGCACUGACGCUCAUGCACGAAAGCGUGGGGAGCAAACAGGAUUAGAUACCCUGGUAGUCCACGCCCUAAACGAUGUCAACUGGUUGUUGGGGAUUUAUUUUCUCAGUAACGAAGCUAACGCGUGAAGUUGACCGCCUGGGGAGUACGGCCGCAAGGUUAAAACUCAAAGGAAUUGACGGGG